This 1046-nucleotide long non-coding RNA is filed under the name Salmo salar (Atlantic salmon). Its description in RNAcentral is "lncRNA (ENSSSAG00000097809.1)". The record is from RNAcentral. Lineage: Eukaryota; Metazoa; Chordata; Actinopteri; Salmoniformes; Salmonidae.
GGUGUGGUCAUACACGAUAUAGACGUGCGUCUGAAGAAGGAUGACUGUGAUUAUUAAUGGGUACUUGAUGUGGCCUGAACGCUGUAGACUUGAACUGUUAAAUCGGACCCUGAUGCGUAAUAUAACCAAAUGCAUUCAUAAUACGUUUCAGAAGAGUGAUUAUUGGAUUAUUGCUGUAGACACAAAUGUUUGGAGUUCAAGCAUAGACAAGGGGGUUGUUUUGUGCUCUUGAGAGGCCUAGGGCAGUAGCUAUUUAAAUAGGCGUUCCUUACCUCAUUUCAGCCCGAAUGUAGUGGAUAGCUUGCGCAGUGGAUGGAGUGCAACUUUUUAUCGCUUAUAGGCAUUUUAGUAGUGAAUGUUUUUUAUUGUAUUAUGGAGCUGCCUGUAUCUAAACCAUACACUGACCUUAACCACACAGCGGUUAUUAUCUAACCGUAACCCUUCUAGGUUAUUGCAUCCUAAGUCAUAACGUUUGCAGAUGUCGGAUAAAUGCCAAGAACAGAAGUGUGCUUGUGAGAUCAAGAUGGUAUGCAACCAGCCAAAUGUACCUGGAUUUUUUUUUGAGAUUCCAAUAGACCUAGUACACAAGGCCACAAAAAUGGAUGAUAACCCUAACCCUAAUUCGCUACACUGGUGUCAGAAGUGGGAUGGCAGCCAUGGGAGAGUUGUCGUUUGAUCUUCAUGUCAACCCUAUGCAUUACGGAGCUGACGGCUGGGGUCUGAUUGACACAAUGAGUUGUCAUCGCCGUCGUGCAGGGCCUACCCCUGUGAAAACACAGCUCUCCGCGGGGGGUCGCCAGCUUUCGGACAGGACUACUUAACGGCCUUCAUAUAAUUAUUAACAAACCACCGUGUGGCUACAGCUCCAUAAAUGUCAACUCCGAAAGUGGAGUUGAUGCAUUGUGGACUGGACUCUCAUCUCCGUGAACUACAUGGUUUGAAACAACAUUAACAUGUGUCUGAGAGCGACUCGUGACAGGCUGUUUAGGGGGGUUUGGUAAUUACAGCCGAGAUGGUUGAGGCUGCAGUCAUGGGGUUCACCGGAG